CCUAAGAGAUACGUGUUAUGUGCAGUGCUCACACAGAUUGUCUGAUGAAGAACGAGCAAAAGCGCGUCUGCGAAGCUGACAAAAGUCCCCUUCGUCUAGAGGCCUAGGACACCGCCCUUUCACGGCGGUAACAGGGGUUCGAAUCCCCUAGGGGACGCCAAUGCGCGGUAUGAGUGAAAGGCGUACCACUUAUCUGACGAGAGUCAGAGAAUAACUAAGCUAAUUCAAAUGAGUUAUCUUACUUAUUAUGCUCUUUAACUAUCUGGAACAAGCUGAAAAAUUGAAAACAAAUCAAUAUAUCACCGAGGUAUAUUGGUGAGUCUCUCAAAAUCUCAAACCUUAAAGUUUGUCACGCAAAGUUUAUCUUUGAAAAAGACACUUUCGGGUUGUGA
Molecule: unclassified non-coding RNA, 392 nt
Filed under: Proteus mirabilis
Lineage: Bacteria; Pseudomonadati; Pseudomonadota; Gammaproteobacteria; Enterobacterales; Morganellaceae
Description: partial 16S-23S ribosomal RNA intergenic spacer
Rfam family: tRNA (bases 85-157)
Source: RNAcentral